RNAcentral lists this ribosomal RNA (1073 nucleotides) under Helotiales sp. DS-2022c. Its description in RNAcentral is "partial large subunit ribosomal RNA". It matches the Rfam family "Eukaryotic large subunit ribosomal RNA", at positions 72 to 1450 of the family's 3401-position model. Lineage: Eukaryota; Fungi; Ascomycota; Leotiomycetes; Helotiales. The record is from RNAcentral.
GGAUUGCCUCAGUAACGGCGAGUGAAGCGGCAACAGCUCAAAUUUGAAAUCUGGCUCUUUCAGGGUCCGAGUUGUAAUUUGUAGAAGAUGCUUCGGGUGUGGUCCCGGUCUAAGUUCCUUGGAACAGGACGUCAUAGAGGGUGAGAAUCCCGUAUGUGACUGGGUGCCUAUGCUCAUGUGAAGCUCUUUCGACGAGUCGAGUUGUUUGGGAAUGCAGCUCAAAAUGGGUGGUAAAUUUCAUCUAAAGCUAAAUAUUGGCCAGAGACCGAUAGCGCACAAGUAGAGUGAUCGAAAGAUGAAAAGCACUUUGGAAAGAGAGUUAAACAGUACGUGAAAUUGUUGAAAGGGAAGCGCUUGCAACCAGACUUGCACGCUGCUGAUCAUCCGGUGUUCUCACCGGUGCACUCGGUAGUGUUCAGGCCAGCAUCGUUUUUGGUGGUUGGAUAAAGGCCUUGGGAAUGUAGCUUCUUUCGGGGAGUGUUAUAGCCCUCGGUGCAAUGCAGCCUACUGGGAACGAGGACCGCGCUUCGGCUAGGAUGCUGGCGUAAUGGUUGUAAGCGACCCGUCUUGAAACACGGACCAAGGAGUCUAACAUCUAUGCGAGUGUUUGGGUGUCAAACCCAUACGCGUAAUGAAAGUGAACGGAGGUGAGAACCCUUAAGGGUGCAUCAUCGACCGAUCCUGAUGUCUUCGGAUGGAUUUGAGUAAGAGCAUAGCUGUUGGGACCCGAAAGAUGGUGAACUAUGCCUGAAUAGGGUGAAGCCAGAGGAAACUCUGGUGGAGGCUCGCAGCGGUUCUGACGUGCAAAUCGAUCGUCAAAUUUGGGUAUAGGGGCGAAAGACUAAUCGAACCAUUGGGAACAGUUGCUAGGUGGUUAAGAGGCAGCUCAAAGUGCUGUCUAGUGGUAUUCGCGCUGCAACACUGUCAAAUUGCGGGGACGUCCAACGAUGAAGUGUAACUACCGCAGCCACGCUGAAAGGCGUGGUGCGCACCGGGGUAAUGACCUAGGGGAUGGUAAAAACGUUACAUGGAGGGAUAAUCCGCAGCCAAGCCCUGUCAAAUGGGUGCAGUUC